This 497-nucleotide ribosomal RNA is filed under the name uncultured bacterium. RNAcentral's name for it is "partial 16S ribosomal RNA". It matches the Rfam family "Bacterial small subunit ribosomal RNA", at positions 28 to 507 of the family's 1533-position model. The record is from RNAcentral.
GAUGAACGCUGGCGGCGUGCCUAAUACAUGCAAGUCGAGCGAACGGACGAGAAGCUUGCUUCUCUGAUGUUAGCGGCGGACGGGUGAGUAACACGUGGAUAACCUACCUAUAAGACUGGGAUAACUUCGGGAAACCGGAGCUAAUACCGGAUAAUAUUUUGAACCGCAUGGUUCAAAAGUGAAAGACGGUCUUGCUGUCUCUUAUAGAUGGAUCCGCGCUGCAUUAGCUAGUUGGUAAGGUAACGGCUUACCAAGGCAACGAUGCAUAGCCGACCUGAGAGGGUGAUCGGCCACACUGGAACUGAGACACGGUCCAGACUCCUACGGGAGGCAGCAGUAGGGAAUCCUCCGCAAUGGGCGAAAGCCUGACGGAGCAACGCCGCGUGAGUGAUGAAGGUCUUCGGAUCGUAAAACUCUGUUAUUAGGGAAGAACAUAUGUGUAAGUAACUGUGCACAUCUUGACGGUACCUAAUCAGAAAGCCACGGCUAACUACGUG